UUUUCAAAAAAGUCCUAAAAUAAUGGUAGUCCUAACGGAAUAUUAAGUUAACACGUCUCACUGUAUCCAUCUCCUUUCCUGAAUAAAAUUUUCUCAUUUCCAGAAUUCUCUGCACUGCGCCUCUCUACCAAGCAUAACGACAACGUUUCUCUCUUUCACUGCAUAUAUAUCAUCGUAUUCUUUUGCUUCUCUUCUGAGAUCCUGCUAAAUAAGGAUCUGUCACGCCGACGCACUAAAUUACUGAUGUUCAAGCUUCUUAUUGUGAAGGCUUGGUAUUAAUUUUUUUUUUUCUUUUCUUUGCAUGAAAAUAUGGACUUUGAAUAUCAGGAGGUGUAUAUAAAGAAUUCAAGAGGAGUGCAGCUCUUCACUUGUAGAUGGUUGCCUGCUUCAUCUUCUCCAAAAGCUCUUGUUUUCCUCUGCCAUGGGUAUGGCAUGGAGUGCAGUGUUUACAUGAAAGAAUGUGGAAUCAGGCUAGCACGUGCAAGAUACGCUGUGUUUGGAAUUGACUAUGAAGGCCAUGGACGGUCCUCUGGUUCUCGUUGUUACAUCAAGAAAUUUGAAAAUAUUGUCAAUGAUUGCAAUGAAUUUUUCAAGUCAGUCUGUGAGAAAGAUUACAGUGACAAGGGCAGGUUCCUGUAUGGAGAGUCUAUGGGAGGGGCAGUGGCCUUGUUACUGCACAAGAAGGAGCCCUCCUUCUAUAAUGGUGCUGUUCUUGUUGCCCCUAUGUGUAAGAUAUCAGAGAAAUUGAAACCGCAUCCAGUGGUGGUUAAUAUAUUGACGAGUUUUGAAGAGAUUAUUCCAAAAUGGAAGAUAGUCCCAACUAAAGAUGUAAUUAAUGCAGCUUUCAAAGAUCCUGUCAAGCGAGAAGAGAUAAGGAACAACAAUCUGAUAUACCAGGACAAGCCUAGGCUGAAAACUGCCCUUGAAAUGCUCAGAACUAGCAUGAGCCUGGAACAGAGUUUAAAUCAGGUUAGACUACCAUUCCUUGUGCUGCACGGUGAUGCAGAUACAGUGACAGACCCAGAAAUAAGCAAGGCCUUGUACGAGCAAGCCAGCAGCAAAGACAAAACCAUGAAACUGUACUCUGGAAUGUGGCAUGGGUUGACAGCAGGGGAGACCAAUGAGAAUGUGGAUAUCGUAUUUGCAGAUAUCAUAGACUGGCUUGACAAGCACACCCACGAUCUUAUCCCUGAACUCAUUAUUGAACCCUUCAACAAUGGCAUAGAAAGACUUGAUGAGUUUCCUACAGCAGUGAGUAGCAAGCAGAGCCAGAGAAAACAAUCCUAUGGUAUUUACCUCUGCGGAUUCAGGGAACCGCGCACGCUCCACUCUGCCAUGUAGCUUUUAGCUUAGCUCACUGUCUGUCCUCGCAAUGGCUUGUUGCAUAUAUCCAUUACUAUUAGCAGUCCUGCAAAUGUUAAAAAUAUUUGUAUUUAUAAAGGAAAUGAAAUAAUAAGCAAUGCUUUUGUUUGAUUAGGCUGAUCAUGAAUAGUAAG
Molecule: unclassified non-coding RNA, 1496 nt
Filed under: Hevea brasiliensis (rubber tree)
Lineage: Eukaryota; Viridiplantae; Streptophyta; Magnoliopsida; Malpighiales; Euphorbiaceae
Source: RNAcentral